AUUGAACGCUGGCGGCAGGCUUAACACAUGCAAGUCGAGCGCGCGGCGGACGGGUGAGUAAUGUAUGGGGACUGCCCGUUCUAGGGGGAAAACUACUUGAAACGGUUGCUAAUUCCGCAUACUAUCGGAUAUCCCAUAGGGGCUUAGCUAGUAGGUGAUGUAAUGGCUCACCUAGGCUACGAUCCCUAGCUGGUCUGCGAGCAUGAUCAGCGACAGUGGGAAUGAGAAACGGCCCAGGCUCCUACGGAGGCAGCAGUGGGGAAUAUGGCACAUUGGACGCAAGCCUGAUGCAGGCAUGCCGAGUGUAUGAAGAAGGACGUAGGGUUUUAAAGUAUAUUCAGUCGGGAGGCGUUACCGACAGAAGAAGCGCCGGCUAACUACGGGCCAGCAGCCGCGGUAAUUC
Molecule: ribosomal RNA, 403 nt
Filed under: uncultured bacterium
Lineage: Bacteria
Description: partial 16S ribosomal RNA
Rfam family: Bacterial small subunit ribosomal RNA
Source: RNAcentral